GCGUCUGGCUAAGUGGCUAGGCGCGCGAGUGGCUCGUCUCCCUCCCUCGAUUACGUACUGCCCCGAGCGGCCAAGCCCCAAUUUCAAUCGAUCCCCUUUUGCCAAACCUAGCUAGCUCCCCCGAUUCAGCCUACCCUGGAAUCAGGUCCGGCUCCGGCGGCCAGGUCGGCUCUCUCCUUCCUCCCUCGCCUCACCCCUCGGUCCCCUCCCCUCCUGCCACCCUCUCCCUCUCCCUCCCUUGCUGGGGCCCGCCCUUGCCCAGACGCCCUCCGACCCUCUGCCGCUCUGCGCCGACCUCUGCGGCGGUGCGGCUUCGCCAGGCGCCGGUCCGCCUCCGACCUCCCGGUUGGCGGCUCCUCGGCCCAAGUAGGCGCCCAGCCCCUCCCGGCUCACCUCCACGGCUCCGCCCUAGACAUUCUGCAUCCAUCUACCUUCAUUUCCUGGCGCCGCCACUGCCCACCAAGAACCCAAUGGCGCCUCCUCUGCCUCGCGAACAAGGUGGCCGCCGCAUCUCCCGCAAGCAGUAGCAACAACUAGCACGCAUGCACAGUGCUCGGUGUUGCAAGAAGUACUUUGUCUACUGCGGAUCUAGGCGUGCGUUGAUCGAUUCUUCCCGGUUGAAUGCGGACGUACAAGCACAGGAGCUAGUUGUUGAAUCGACUCUAGCCACCGGCUAGACAUACCAUAUACGGCGGUCGCCUACUUGAAGCUGAGGGAGGGCCCCGACUGUCGGCGUUGACCGCCUCGGUGGUGGCGGAGGGUGUCCUGCAGGGCGGCUGCUCCCGGCGGCGUGCGGUUCGUCGCCAUUGUCUCCAUGCCUUCAGGCGCGGCGACAGUGCAACGACUGGCACGCGGAGCGGCUGCGACCACCUAGCGGCGACGGGCGGGAUUCCGGCAGCACAUGGCCACAGUGCACGGGGGCUGAUCGCUUUUGUUUUUUAUUAAAGGAUGUCUAUGUAAAAUUCCAGGGACUAUUGUUGGUACAUUUCAACCAACCCUGUCUCCGUGAACUGUUAUGCCAUGUGACCGAAAUGCGGGACCCACCUGCCAUAAACGCGCUCAAAUAAGCCUAAUCCGCCGAUCGAUGUUAUUUGCCAAACGAUUACACUAGACAUGGUGUUGUUUGUCCAAAAACAAUGUAAAUUCGUGUUUUCUGCUAAUCUAGCCUUCAAUGUGGUUGUGGUGGUUUCUUA
Molecule: long non-coding RNA, 1193 nt
Organism: Aegilops tauschii subsp. strangulata
Lineage: Eukaryota; Viridiplantae; Streptophyta; Magnoliopsida; Poales; Poaceae
Source: RefSeq, a predicted model, not a curated record